AUGUCUUUCUUUACCCUCUGGCUCUUUCUUCUUUCUUUCACUCUCUUAGUCUUUUUCCCUUUGUCUUCCUCCCUAUCCCUUUUCUAUCCCUGUGUCACUCUCAUUCUUUCUCCUCCGUCUCAAUAUUCUUCUUCCUCUUUCUGUCUCCCAAUCUUUUUUCUAUUUCAUCUUUUCUCUUCCUUUUUCUCUCUCCCCGACUCUUUUUCUCUGUCUUUCUUAGCCAUUCCUCCCACUUUAUUUCUUGAUCUAUUCGGGGCUCUCCUUUUCUUUCUCUGUCUCAUUCUGAUUCAUUUUUCCUCUCUAUUUCUCUCAUUCCUACUCUCUACCUUUCACUAUUUCUCUUACUCUCUUUCUUUCUCUCUCUGUUUCAGUGUCUCCCAUUCUCUUUUCUCCCUGACACUCUCUCUCACAUUCUGUUUCUCUCUCCCACAUUUUCCUUUUUUCUCUUUCCCCUUUUUUGCACCGUCUCUCCCUCCAUCUCUCAUUCUCUUUCUCACACUCAUUCUCUCGCUCCAUCCCCCACUCUCUUUCUACAUCGCUCUAUACUUUUCUCUCCUUCUGUCUCUCUCUCUCACAUGUUUCUCUUUCAUUCUGUCUCACUUUUCUUCUUUUUCUAGCUCCGCUUUGUCUAUCUCUUUUUCUCUCCUCUUCUUUUUAUACCUCUCAUUUUUUUCAUUUCCUAUGUCUAUUUGUCUCCCUCUCUUUCUGUUUCCCAUUCUUUUUUACUCUCUCUCCCUCCUUCUCACUCUCUGUCUCUCUCAUUCUCUUUCACUAUUUCUUCCUUUCUCCCACUCUUUUUUACUCUCUCUCCCUCCUUCUCACUCUCUGUCUCUCUCAUUCUCCUUCACUGUUCCUUUCUCUUUUUUCUUUCUCUCCCUCUGUUUCCAUCUCCCAAUCUUUUUUGCUCUCUCUCCCAACUUCUUGCUCUAUAUUUCUCUCAUUUUCUUUCACUGUUUCUUUGUUUCUCUUCCUCUGUUUCUCUCUCUCUCGUUCUCACUCUCUGUCUCUCUCAUUCUCUUUCACGAUUUCUUCCUUUCUCCACUCUUUUUACUCUCUCUCCCACACUUCUCCCUCUCUGUCUCUCUCAUUCUCUUCACUGUUCCUUUCUCUUUUUCUCUCUCUCUUGUUUCUAUCUCCCACUCUUUUUUGCUCUCUCUCUCUCCCUCCUUCUCACUCUCUGUCUCUCUCAUUCUCUUUCACUUUUUCUUCCUUUCUCUCCCUGUUUCUAUCUCCCACUCUUUUUUGCUCUCACUCCAUGUAUCUCUCAUUCUAUUUUACUGUUUCUUUCUCUUUUUGCUUUCUCUCCCUCUGUUUCUAUCUCUCACUCUUUUUUGUUCUCUCUCCCUCCAACUCACUCUCUGUCUCUCAUUGUCUUUCACUGUUUCUUUCUCUUUUCUCUUUCUCUCCCUCUGUUUCUAUCUCCCACUCUUUUUUGCUCUCUCUCCCAACUUCUUACUCUCUAUUUCUCUCAUUUGCUUUCACUAUUUCUUUCUUUCUCUCCCUUUGUUUCUGUCUCUCACUCUUUUUUGGUCUCCCUUCUUCUCACUCUCUGUCUCUCCCAUUCUAUUUCACUGUUUCUCUCUCUUUUUUCUUUCUCUCCCUCUGUUUCUAUCUCCCACUCUUUUUUCCUCUCUCUCCCUCCUUCUCACUCUGUCUCUCUUCUUUCAUCGUUUAUUUCUUUUUCUUUCUCUCCCUCUGUUUCUAUCUCCCACUCUUUUUUGCUCUCACUCUGUCUCUCUCAUUCUAUUUCACUGUUUCUUUCUCUUUUUUCUUUCUCUCCCUCUGUUUCUAUCUCUCACUCUUUUUGGUUCUCUCUCCCUCCAACUCACUCUGUCUCUCAAUCUCUUUCACUGUUUCCCCUCGAUUUUCUUUCUCUCCCUCUUUUACUAUCUGUAUCCUAAUCUUUAUUGCACUGUCUCAUUCCUUCUCACUCUUUGUCUCUCUCCUUCUCUUUCACUGUUUUUCUUCCUCUCCCUGUUUCUUUCUAUCUCCCACUCUUUUUUGCUCUCUCUCCCUCCUUCUCACUCUCUCUCUCAUUCUCUUUCACUUUUUCUUCCUUUCUCUCCCUCUGUUUCUGUCUCUCACUCUUUCUUGCUUUCUCUCCCUCUUUCUCACUCUCUGUGUCAUUCUCUUUCAGUGUUUCUUUCUUUCUCUCCCUCUGUUUCUGUCUCCCACUCUUUUUUCCUCUGUCUCCCACCUUCUUACAUUCGGUCUCUUUC
Molecule: long non-coding RNA, 2219 nt
Filed under: Phascolarctos cinereus (koala)
Lineage: Eukaryota; Metazoa; Chordata; Mammalia; Diprotodontia; Phascolarctidae
Description: lncRNA (ENSPCIG00000034014.1)
Source: RNAcentral